Molecule: ribosomal RNA, 253 nt
Filed under: uncultured bacterium
Lineage: Bacteria
Description: partial 16S ribosomal RNA
Rfam family: Bacterial small subunit ribosomal RNA
Source: RNAcentral
UACGGGGGGGGCAAGCGUUGUUCGGAAUUACUGGGCGUAAAGGGCGCGUAGGCGGCUCGCUAAGUCGGAUGUGAAAACUCUGGGCUCAACCCAGAGCCUGCAUUCGAAACUGACGAGCUGGAGUUCUGGAGGGGAAAGCGGAAUUCCUGGUGUAGCGGUGAAAUGCGCAGAUAUCAGGAGGAACACCGGUGGCGAAGGCGGAUCUCUGGGCCUUACCUGACGCUCAGGCGCGAAAGCUAGGGGAGCGAACUGG